GGAAUGAUUUUGUUUUGCUACAAAUUCACCUUGUCAUCAAGGAAAGGACAAUAUUACUAGAUGUAGUCCAAGAUAUUCAACUGCACGCAAAGGUAAAAAGAUGGUCAUGAUGUUUGUACUCAAUUGCUUCAACAGUGUAUUAAGGUACAAAUUUUAAGCUGCUGCUCAACUUACAAAUGCUUUAAGUUUUCACUACUGACAAUAUGGAGGAAUAGACUACCUGAUGGACUCUUGCAGUGAAUACAACUAAGUCAUGAAUUUAUCUAGGUUAAACUGAAGAAGGAGGAGAAUGAUUAAAUUCUGUAGGCAGAAAGAAGAAAUGGAAUCCAAAGUCUAUGGGAGAUUUGCACAAUAAAUUCAAAAGCAAUGGAAUUAAGAAUGUAAACAUAUUGAUAUGUUAGUAUCAUGAGAUUCUCCUCCCUCAAAAGAAGUUUACACCUAAAAUCUUUUUUUUCCUCCGGAGAAUAAGCAGUAAAGCCACAUGGUUGAGGAGCUUCUAUGCCCAAAAUGGUGAGCUUUGGUAGCCUGGGAAGGGUCAGAGGGAAGAAAGGCCGAAGAAAGGCUACAGCAGAGAUGGUAUCAGCCAAUAAGCCAAGCAUAUUUACAAUGGAUACUGUGGUAAAAUGAUAUAUUAGUUGGGAUUCUUCAGAGGAAAAGGAAUAAUAGAAUGUGUGCGUUUGUGUGGAUAUGUUUGUACAUAUGUAUAUAUUUAUAUGGUCCUGUGCCACAUAACAAUGUUUCAAUUAAGAACAGACCACAUAUACUGUGGUGGUCCCAUAAGAUUACAAUAUGGUAUUUUUACUGUACUUGUUCUAUGCUUAGAUAUGCUUAGAUACACAAAUACUUACCACUGUGUGACAAUUGCCUACAGCAUUCAGUACAAUAACAUGCUGUACAGGUUUGUGGCCUAGGAACAACAGGCUAUACUAUAUAGCCUAGGUAUGUAGUAGGCUAUACCAUCUAGGUUUGUGUAAGCACACUCUAUGAUGUUCAUACAGUGACAAAAUCUCCUAACAAUGCAUUUCUCAGAAUGUAUUGCCAUUAUUAAGCUGUAUUCCCAUUAUUAAGCUAUACAUGAUUGUAUGUGUGUGUGUGUGGGUACAUAUAUAUAUAUAUAUAUAGAGAGAGAGAGAGAGAGAGAAAGAGAGAGAAAUCUACUUUAAGGAAUAGGCUUAUGCAAUUAUGAGGGUUGGCAACGCUAAAAUCUGCAGGCAGACAGAAGCUGAAGAACUAAAGAAGAGUUGAUGUUGCAGUUGGAUCCUAAAGGCUGUCCAGAGGUGGAAUUAUCUCUGCCUCAGAGGACCUCAGUCUUUUCUAAGGCCUUCUACUGAUUGGAUGAGGCCCACUCACAUUAUGGAAGUUAAUCUGUUUUGCUUAGAGUCUACUGAUUUAAAUGUUAAUCUCAUCUAAAAAAUAUGUUAAUAGCUCCAUCUAGAUGGGUGUUUGGCAAAAUAUCUAGGUGCCAUGGCCUAGCCAAGUUGACAGAUAAAACUAACCAUCACAGACAGGAACCGUCAGGACUGUAAAAAUUACGUUUUGGGUAUAAAUCUAUUUAAAGUAAACAAAAGUAUAAUUUCAUAGGAGCAUUUACAUAAUUAAAUUUUACAAAGCAUAGAAACAGGAGACAGAAAAUUACCAAAACUUUUUGAAAUUUAGUACUAGUUAUUUUUAAUAGUAAAUGAUAAAUAUUAUUUAUAUUUUUAAUGAUUUAUCUUAUUUAAUGAUUAUAAACUCUCAUGAAAAUUAUAGAUUCUUUGUCUCCUCCAAAUAUUUAUAGUCAUAAGCCACAUAAUGUUUCAGUUAAUGGACACUUAUAUCAUAGAGGUCUCAUGAGACUAUAAAUAACAUACUUAUUGUACCUUUUCUAUGUUUAGACCAUGCUUAGAUACACAAAUGCUUACCAUUGUAUUACAGUUGCAUACAGUACAGUAACUGCUGUACAUAAUUGUAGCCUAGGAACAAUAGGCUAUAACCUAUAGUCUAUGUGUGUAGUAUGCUACAGUGUCUAGGUUUUUUGUAAAUACACUAUAAUAUUCACACAACUAUCAAAUUAUGUAACAACUCAUUUCUCACAGAGUAUCCCCAUUGUUAAGUGAUACAUGACUGUAUCUGGAAGAUAUACUUACAUAGUAAUUAGUCAGAGGUUGAAAAUAAUCCUUAAAGAGAAUCUUGCAGUUACUUCAUACAAAGAGAUGAAUACAAGAGUGGAAUAUGUUUACGUUUUCUAGAUCGGUAGAAUUCAAAGCAGUUAUGUACACUUUCCAGGAAAUAAAAAGAAGAAAUGAAUUUUUUUUCCUUAUGUGGGGAAACUUUCUUUAUCUUGUAUAUGUUGUUACUGCUACCAUGAUUACAUCAUUUCUCUUUCAACAAUAGAAGGCAACAGUUUGAGGUUUAAAAGACA
RNAcentral lists this long non-coding RNA (2401 nucleotides) under Homo sapiens (human). RNAcentral describes it as "HSALNT0092488". Lineage: Eukaryota; Metazoa; Chordata; Mammalia; Primates; Hominidae. The record is from RNAcentral.